AGAAGCAGGCUCCAUGCACCGGGAGCCCGACGUGGGAUUCAACCCCGGGUCUCCAGGAUCGCGCCCUGGGCCAAAGGCAGGCGCCAAACCGCUGUGCCACCCAGGGAUCCCCUAUUCGGUGAACUUAGUACAGACAAAAUGAACUCUGCAAUCAGGUGUGAAUUCAGAAGAAGUAACAGGAACAACAAACUUGGCACAUUUAUAAAGGAACCAUUAUUUUGGGCUGGUGAGUCUUUGCCUUGGAUCUCUCCGUGACAUAUAAGGCAGACCUCUACUUACAUGAUCCGGAACCACCUUCGUGAUGAACCUGCAACAGAAGCAGCACGAGCUCUUACCUAUUAUCCUGGCACUGAUAUUCUUCUGCAACUCCUUGAAGAGAGGACUCAACUGCUUCCUUACUGAUUUCAAGGUGUCUUCCAGAAAGUCUGUGACACGGGACCACGUGUACAGCUUUGAUUCGCUGAAGUAGAUGGAACAUGGAGCCCUUUCCGGUCGUCCCAGCCAAUCACUGAGAACUGACAUUAUUUUCUCCUUUUAUUAUUGUGGGCUGGAGCUCAGAUGAAAGAAUUCUUCAUGUUUAUGGUACAACAAAAACUUAUUUGUAUUUAUAGUAGGCAUGUUAUCCUUUCUCAUUAGAAGACUAAGAUAAACACCCAUUGUCUGCUUUCCAAGAAAACUAUGAAGAAGAGAGGGAAAAGGAAGAUGAACAGAAGGAAGAGAAGACAGAGGGGUAAAGGAAGAAGGCUGCUCCAUCCAGAACAGUGUUUGCACUGAGCUCCACCCCGCAAGGCUGCCAUCCUCUCUGCACGAGGCCCAUUGAGCUAUCACUUAGUAAUGUGACUAUGUAACUACAAUAAACAAGUGGCUUCUGCUA
Long non-coding RNA from Canis lupus familiaris (dog), 874 nucleotides. RefSeq lists it as uncharacterized. The transcript has 4 exons. NCBI's taxonomy places the organism in Eukaryota, Metazoa, Chordata, Mammalia, Carnivora, Canidae. The record is from RefSeq and is a predicted model, not a curated record.